This 253-nucleotide ribosomal RNA is filed under the name uncultured bacterium. Its description in RNAcentral is "partial 16S ribosomal RNA". It matches the Rfam family "Bacterial small subunit ribosomal RNA", at positions 524 to 776 of the family's 1533-position model. The record is from RNAcentral.
UACGUAGGGGGCGAGCGUUGUCCGGAAUCAUUGGGCGUAAAGCGCGUGUAGGCGGCUCGGUAAGUCUGCUGUGAAAGUCCAGGGCUCAACCCUGGGAUGCCGGUGGAUACUGUCGAGCUCGAGUCCGGAAGAGGCGAGUGGAAUUCCUGGUGUAGCGGUGAAAUGCGCAGAUAUCAGGAGGAACACCGAUGGCGAAGGCAGCUCGCUGGGACGGUACUGACGCUGAGACGCGAAAGCGUGGGGAGCAAACAGG